This 1492-nucleotide ribosomal RNA is filed under the name Lacticaseibacillus paracasei. RNAcentral describes it as "bacterial SSU rRNA". It matches the Rfam family "Bacterial small subunit ribosomal RNA". Lineage: Bacteria; Bacillati; Bacillota; Bacilli; Lactobacillales; Lactobacillaceae. The record is from RNAcentral.
GAUGAACGCUGGCGGCGUGCCUAAUACAUGCAAGUCGAACGAGUUCUCGUUGAUGAUCGGUGCUUGCACUGAGAUUCAACAUGGAACGAGUGGCGGACGGGUGAGUAACACGUGGGUAACCUGCCCUUAAGUGGGGGAUAACAUUUGGAAACAGAUGCUAAUACCGCAUAGAUCCAAGAACCGCAUGGUUCUUGGCUGAAAGAUGGCGUAAGCUAUCGCUUUUGGAUGGACCCGCGGCGUAUUAGCUAGUUGGUGAGGUAAUGGCUCACCAAGGCGAUGAUACGUAGCCGAACUGAGAGGUUGAUCGGCCACAUUGGGACUGAGACACGGCCCAAACUCCUACGGGAGGCAGCAGUAGGGAAUCUUCCACAAUGGACGCAAGUCUGAUGGUGCAACGCCGCGUGAGUGAAGAAGGCUUUCGGGUCGUAAAACUCUGUUGUUGGAGAAGAAUGGUCGGCAGAGUAACUGUUGUCGGCGUGACGGUAUCCAACCAGAAAGCCACGGCUAACUACGUGCCAGCAGCCGCGGUAAUACGUAGGUGGCAAGCGUUAUCCGGAUUUAUUGGGCGUAAAGCGAGCGCAGGCGGUUUUUUAAGUCUGACGUGAAAGCCCUCGGCUUAACCGAGGAAGCGCAUCGGAAACUGGGAAACUUGAGUGCAGAAGAGGACAGUGGAACUCCAUGUGUAGCGGUGAAAUGCGUAGAUAUAUGGAAGAACACCAGUGGCGAAGGCGGCUGUCUGGUCUGUAACUGACGCUGAGGCUCGAAAGCAUGGGUAGCGAACAGGAUUAGAUACCCUGGUAGUCCAUGCCGUAAACGAUGAAUGCUAGGUGUUGGAGGGUUUCCGCCCUUCAGUGCCGCAGCUAACGCAUUAAGCAUUCCGCCUGGGGAGUACGACCGCAAGGUUGAAACUCAAAGGAAUUGACGGGGGCCCGCACAAGCGGUGGAGCAUGUGGUUUAAUUCGAAGCAACGCGAAGAACCUUACCAGGUCUUGACAUCUUUUGAUCACCUGAGAGAUCAGGUUUCCCCUUCGGGGGCAAAAUGACAGGUGGUGCAUGGUUGUCGUCAGCUCGUGUCGUGAGAUGUUGGGUUAAGUCCCGCAACGAGCGCAACCCUUAUGACUAGUUGCCAGCAUUUAGUUGGGCACUCUAGUAAGACUGCCGGUGACAAACCGGAGGAAGGUGGGGAAGACGUCAAAUCAUCAUGCCCCUUAUGACCUGGGCUACACACGUGCUACAAUGGAUGGUACAACGAGUCGCGAGACCGCGAGGUCAAGCUAAUCUCUUAAAGCCAUUCUCAGUUCGGACUGUAGGCUGCAACUCGCCUACACGAAGUCGGAAUCGCUAGUAAUCGCGGAUCAGCACGCCGCGGUGAAUACGUUCCCGGGCCUUGUACACACCGCCCGUCACACCAUGAGAGUUUGUAACACCCGAAGCCGGUGGCGUAACCCUUUUAGGGAGCGAGCCGUCUAAGGUGGGACAAAUGAUUAGGGUG